ACUUUUUGUGAUGUCAUAAAAGCCUCCCGAGAACUCACAAUGAACAACAGACACAACCUUGCUGUUUCCCAGCACAUUUAGGACAUUCACCAACUGACAUUACUCUAUAUCAUUGUCAAAGUUAAUGGAGAACCAAAAAAUACCAAAGGGAAACCAAAGACAUAUAGCUUUUGCAACAAAACUAUUUAGAGGGGGCCCCCAAGUUGAAGAAACACCAAAGCUUCACAAAUGCAAGAGUGUCAGGCUUAAGUGUCACCCACAUAAGUCUGAACCAGCUGGUCUGAUUGAGAAAACAUUGCAAGAAGCUGAUGCUUUCUGUAGACGAGAAGGAGCACAACAUUCAGAAGACCUUAACUGUCUGAAAGAGAUCAAGAAGAAAGUAUAUGAAAACAAAGAAGAUAAAGAUGGUGAUCAUGAGCAAGACGGAUUUGUUCAUGCGGACACCAGGGAAACAACGGAGGCAAAGACACAAACUGGAAUUGAAGAUAUUUUUCUGGAGAUAAAGAAAGACUUGUCAUCGUUUGUGGAGAUUGAUCUGGGAGACAGACUUGAAGAGGCUCUGGAGCAGCUGGCUUUGCUGUUUUCCUAUCUGGACAAAGCAGAGGAAGCAAAAAGAAAAACAGGAGUAGCCACAAAAUAGGGCUCCCCAGAGUUUCAGAAUAUGAAAGCCAAUAUUGAAUGAAAGGACACCAGUGUGGAAUGAGUGGCCAGCCAAAGACUAAGCACUGAAUAAACUCAAAUCCAUAACUUGAGUAGCCUGAUUG
RNAcentral lists this long non-coding RNA (764 nucleotides) under Pogona vitticeps (central bearded dragon). RNAcentral describes it as "lncRNA (ENSPVIG00000022062.1)". Lineage: Eukaryota; Metazoa; Chordata; Lepidosauria; Squamata; Agamidae. The record is from RNAcentral.